Dermacentor albipictus is the source of this 1301-nucleotide non-coding RNA. Lineage: Eukaryota; Metazoa; Arthropoda; Arachnida; Ixodida; Ixodidae. The record is from RefSeq and is a predicted model, not a curated record.
GCGAAAGGCGCCAGCAGCGCGAGGAUGGGUCCCCCUCUAUUGCCCUCCAUGAUGGGUCCCGAACCCAUUUUUUUCGCGGCGCCGUGUUCGCGCAAACCCGAGCGAGCCAAUCGCAGGUGCCGAAGUCAUCACGUGUGCGGUGAGGUCAAUUCUCUUGCGGGCGAGCCCGACCGGUGCGCGCGCCUUGUCCCAGCAGCCGGGGGGCGAACACGAGGAACGACUGAAACGCGCGUGGAAUCUCGAGAGAGGGCGACAACUCUCGCCUGUUUAAGCACGCCGCCUUGCGCGCGCUUAUUUCCGCAAAUGAGGACGUACUUACCGCAACUGUCGCAAGCAGCGCCUUCCUCUAUCAUGUCUUCGUCCGGCUAGCGAACCGGCAGAUCACGUGGCUCAACGAAACCAAUAAGACAACACCUGCACGCGGCACUGAAGAGCCAGGUCGAUGACCUGGUGUUCACCUAGCGCUCGCAGUAGCAGCGGCGUAGACGACGGGCUUGAUGGUUGUGCCCCUCACACCGUCCUUGUGUGACUGUGGUCUCUUUGGAGGAAACGCAGUGUUGCGUCGUGUUGUGUGGAAGUGGACCGGUUGGACAUUUCGACAAGACGAGCUGCUUCCUGUCCUUCGGAAGCGUACAUAUCGAUGUGUCACAAAACUGUGUUUCUUGUGGUGUUCAUCGACGAAACGUUGAGGGCACGCCGUGCGGACAGUUGAGACGCCUGCCCGGGGAAAGAAGGAAAAUGGUUCGCCUCUACAAACCUUGAGAAGGCACAGCAGGGCUUCUAAAUAAUUCUUCAGAUCUUCCUGCAGAAGAGCUGGUUAGGGCCUUCAAGACCUACAUCAACAAGAGGCUGCCUCUCGCAGCAGGCUGUGGGUGACACAGCCAGAAGGGUGACCCUUGCAGCUGCAAGGAAUACGUUGGCAGAAAAGUGAUUGGAGGAGUACUGCAAGGGCAGAGGAAGUGCUGAGGAGGCUUGGAGCUGAGGUGGCCCUUACACUGGCUUAUCUCAAGGUGGAGCUGGUCGCUACGUGUCCAUACCGCUCUGUUCGUGUGAUGGAAGCAGAUACCACCUAAUAUGGACAUGUACUGGUUUAAAAUCAGAAUGCUCGCGUCUUCUACUGCAAGCGGGCCUCUGCUACACUGACAAACAGCUAUGGCCGCGGGAUACAUGACAACAGAUUCUGCAAACACUGCUUCAAUUUAUUAACACGGCUCACAACACAUAUAAUACACAUACACACCAAGAAUUUUGCCUUAAGGGCAAAUCCUUAUUGCAAUAAUAAAUGUGCCACAUUGGCGAGA